GACGAACGCUGGCGGCGUGCUUAACACAUGCAAGUCGAACGGUGAAGGGGUCUGCUUUUGUGGGCCCUGGAUGAGUGGCGAACGGGUGAGUAACACGUGAGUAACCUGCCCCCUUCUUCUGGAUAACCGCAUGAAAGUGUGGCUAAUACGGGAUAUUCUGGGUCUGUCGCAUGAUGGGUCUGGGAAAGAUUGCGCCUUUGGGUGUUUUUGGUGGGGGAUGGGCUCGCGGCCUAUCAGCUUGUUGGUGGGGUGAUGGCCUACCAAGGCGGUGACGGGUAGCCGGCCUGAGAGGGUGGACGGUCACACUGGGCCUGAGACACGGCCCAGACUCCUACGGGAGGCAGCAGUGGGGAAUAGUGCACAAUGGGCGCAAGCCUGAUGCAGCGACGCCGCGUGAGGGAUGGAGGCCUUCGGGUUGUAAACCUCUUUCGCCAGUGAAGCAGGCCUGCUCCUUGUGGGUGGGUUGACGGUAGCUGGAUAAGAAGCGCCGGCUAACUACGUG
This 502-nucleotide ribosomal RNA is filed under the name uncultured bacterium. RNAcentral's name for it is "partial 16S ribosomal RNA". It matches the Rfam family "Bacterial small subunit ribosomal RNA", at positions 28 to 507 of the family's 1533-position model. The record is from RNAcentral.